GACGUAGGGCGCAAGCGUUGUCCGGAUUUAUUGGGCGUAAAGAGCUCGUAGGCGGCUUGUUGCGUCGACCGUGAAAACCCACAGCUCAACUGUGGGCUUGCGGUUGAUACGGGCGGGCUGGAGUUCGGUAGGGGAGACUGGAAUUCCUGGUGUAGCGGUGAAAUGCGUUGAGAUCGGAAGGAACGCCCGUGGCGAAAGCGAGGUCCUGGACGUCUACUGACGCUGAGACGCGAAAGCUAGGGGAGCAAACGGG
RNAcentral lists this ribosomal RNA (253 nucleotides) under uncultured bacterium. RNAcentral describes it as "partial 16S ribosomal RNA". It matches the Rfam family "Bacterial small subunit ribosomal RNA", at positions 524 to 776 of the family's 1533-position model. The record is from RNAcentral.